RNAcentral lists this ribosomal RNA (430 nucleotides) under uncultured bacterium. RNAcentral describes it as "bacterial SSU rRNA". It matches the Rfam family "Bacterial small subunit ribosomal RNA", at positions 28 to 445 of the family's 1533-position model. The record is from RNAcentral.
GACGAACGCUGGCGGCGUGCUUAGCACAUGCAAGUCGAGCGGUAAGGCCUGCUUCGGUGGGUACACGAGCGGCGAACGGGUGAGUAACACGUGGGUGACCUGCCCUUAGCUCUGGGAUAAGCCUGGGAAACUGGGUCUAAUACCGGAUAUGACCAUAUGUCGCAUGGUGUGUGGUGGAAAGCCUGGUUGUUGUGACUGGGUGGCUGGGGAUGGGCCCGCGGCCUAUCAGCUUGUUGGUGGGGUGAUGGCCUACCAAGGCGACGACGGGUAGCCGGCCUGAGAGGGCGACCGGCCACACUGGGACUGAGACACGGCCCAGACUCCUACGGGAGGCAGCAGUGGGGAAUAUUGCGCAAUGGGCGGAAGCCUGACGCAGCGACGCCGCGUGGGGGAUGAAGCUUCUCGGAGUGUAAACCCCUUUCGACCCGGA